AGGCUUAUAGUGCUUAUGGCAAGCAGUGCUCUGAAAAUGAUUGCACAGAACAAGGAGUCAGAGUAAACCUAACCCAAGUCAGCCCAGGGCCUGUGCCUGGCCAGAAUCAUGAAUAGGGGACAAGA
Molecule: small nucleolar RNA, 125 nt
Organism: Perognathus longimembris pacificus (Pacific pocket mouse)
Lineage: Eukaryota; Metazoa; Chordata; Mammalia; Rodentia; Heteromyidae
Product: small nucleolar RNA SNORA51
Exons: 1
Source: RefSeq, a predicted model, not a curated record